AAAUGAAUUGACGGGACCCCGCACAAGCGGUGGAUCAUGUUCUUUAAUUCGACGAUACGCGAAGAACCUUACCAGGUCUUGACAUCCCCUGCAAGUGCUUAGAGAUAAGCAGGAGGUUAUCAGGGAGACAGGUGGUGCAUGGUUGUCGUCAGCUCGUGUCGUGAGAUGUUGGGUUAAGUCCCGCAACGAGCGCAACCCUUAUUGCUAGUUGCCAUCAUUAAGUUGGGCACUUUAGCGAGACUGCCAGUGACAAACUGGAGGAAGGUGGGGAUGACGUCAAAUCAUCAUGCCCCUUAUGACCUGGGCUAGAAACGUGAUACAAUGGCUGAAACAAAGGGAGGCGAAAGAGUGAUCUGGAGCGAAACCCAAAAAAGCAGUCUCAGUUCGGAUUGAAGUCUGCAAUUCGACUUCAUGAAGCAGGAAUCGCUAGUAAUCGCAGAUCAGAAUGCUGCGGUGAAUACGUUCUCGGGGUUUGUACACACCGCCCGU
Molecule: ribosomal RNA, 489 nt
Filed under: uncultured bacterium
Lineage: Bacteria
Description: bacterial SSU rRNA
Rfam family: Bacterial small subunit ribosomal RNA
Source: RNAcentral